GAAGAAAAAAACGAUGGAAAUGUAUGCACUCGCUACUGGCUGUCGGUGCUAAGCUGUUAAAAUGGCUGACAGUGUGCCUGUCUGACUUCAUGCAGUGCAGCGGUGCUGUGAUUGGACGAGCAGAACAUGUAGCAGAAGUGACUGGGUACAGUACGCUGAGGAACUAGCUGGAGGAUAGAAGUGGAGCUUCUAGUGAUUCAUCUCUUCUCCACCCCCCAUCCUCCCAGUCCCAGCCAGGCCUGGCUGUGGGGGGCUUCCUCAACACACACGUAUACUGAGAGGAAGCGUGUUCUUUCGCUGAUCAAGGGUGCUUGACAUUCUAGAGCCCCAGAUUUCUCCAGUCAAGGGGAAGAGAGUGUUGAGAGGGCAGAGUAGAGCAGCGCAUUCAAGCACACACAGUUUGGUAACUUGAACAAAAAUAUGCUGUUUCCCUCCGUCCCACCGUCCGUAGUCUGUCUCUCUUUCUCUCCCUACACAAUCUUCCUCUUUCUGUCUAUGUUCUCUCAAUCACAUUGAUUGUCUGUCUGUCAGUCCAUCCCCUCCAUUUUACCCAACCUGUCUCUGUGGCAUUCUCUCUCCUGGGUCUUAUCCUUCUUCUGUCAAAUUCCACCAUCUCUCUUCUCAACAUCAUCCUUCCUCUGACAGAUGUGUUUUAUUCCCUGUCUCCGUCUCUCUCCUCCUUGUCCUGACACUGGCCCUCUCCUUUUAACAGACCUUUUAUGAUAUGACUGCA
Non-coding RNA from Salmo salar (Atlantic salmon), 733 nucleotides. The record is from RefSeq and is a predicted model, not a curated record. NCBI's taxonomy places the organism in Eukaryota, Metazoa, Chordata, Actinopteri, Salmoniformes, Salmonidae.